RNAcentral lists this small nuclear RNA (106 nucleotides) under Fasciola hepatica (liver fluke). RNAcentral describes it as "U5 spliceosomal RNA". It matches the Rfam family "U5 spliceosomal RNA", at positions 1 to 103 of the family's 117-position model. Rfam says of the family: U5 RNA is a component of both types of known spliceosome. The precise function of this molecule is unknown, though it is known that the 5' loop is required for splice site selection and p220 binding, and that both the 3' stem-loop and the Sm site are important for Sm protein binding and cap methylation. The record is from RNAcentral. Lineage: Eukaryota; Metazoa; Platyhelminthes; Trematoda; Plagiorchiida; Fasciolidae.
UCACUCUGGUGUCUCCUCACUUGCGGAUAAAUCUUUCGCCUUUUACUAAAGAUUUCCGUGGGGAGGCACAACACAAUGAGUCUGAACUCAUUUUUUACAACCCCAU